This 766-nucleotide ribosomal RNA is filed under the name fungal sp. RNAcentral's name for it is "eukaryotic LSU rRNA". The stretch from base 517 to 766 matches the Rfam family "Eukaryotic large subunit ribosomal RNA", at positions 1 to 249 of the family's 3401-position model. Lineage: Eukaryota; Fungi. The record is from RNAcentral.
AUUACCGAGUGCGGGUCCUUUGGGCCCAACCUCCCAUCCGUGUCUAUUAUACCCUGUUGCUUCGGCGGGCCCGCCGCUUGUCGGCCGCCGGGGGGGCGCCUUUGCCCCCCGGGCCCGUGCCCGCCGGAGACCCCAACACGAACACUGUCUGAAAGCGUGCAGUCUGAGUUGAUUGAAUGCAAUCAGUUAAAACUUUCAACAAUGGAUCUCUUGGUUCCGGCAUCGAUGAAGAACGCAGCGAAAUGCGAUAACUAAUGUGAAUUGCAGAAUUCAGUGAAUCAUCGAGUCUUUGAACGCACAUUGCGCCCCCUGGUAUUCCGGGGGGCAUGCCUGUCCGAGCGUCAUUGCUGCCCUCAAGCCCGGCUUGUGUGUUGGGUCGCCGUCCCCCUCUCCGGGGGGACGGGCCCGAAAGGCAGCGGCGGCACCGCGUCCGAUCCUCGAGCGUAUGGGGCUUUGUCACAUGCUCUGUAGGAUUGGCCGGCGCCUGCCGACGUUUUCCAACCAUUUUUUCCAGGUUGACCUCGGAUCAGGUAGGGAUACCCGCUGAACUUAAGCAUAUCAAUAAGCGGAGGAAAAGAAACCAACCGGGAUUGCCUCAGUAACGGCGAGUGAAGCGGCAAGAGCUCAAAUUUGAAAGCUGGCUCCUUCGGAGUCCGCAUUGUAAUUUGCAGAGGAUGCUUUGGGUGCGGCCCCCGUCUAAGUGCCCUGGAACGGGCCGUCAGAGAGGGUGAGAAUCCGUCUUGGCGGGGUGUCCGUGCCCGUGUAA